CCUACGGGCGGCAGCAGUGAGGAAUAUUGGGCAAUGGACGCGAGUCUGACCCAGCAACGUAGCGUGAAGGAUGAAUGCCCUAUGGUUUUUAAACUUCUUUUAUAUGGAAGUAAAAUGUUCCACGUGUGGGUUUUUGUAUGUACCAUAUCAAUAAGGAUCGGCUAACUCCGUGCCAGCAGCCGCGGUAAUACGUGGGUUCCGAGGGUUAUCCGGAUUUAUGGGGUUGAAAGGGAGCGCAGUGGGAGGGGUAAGUCAGUUGUGAAAGCUAGCGGCUCAACCGUAAAAUUGCAGUUGAAACUGGCAGUCUUGAGUACAGUAGAGGUGGGCGGAAUUCGUGGUGUAGCGGUGAAAUGCUUAGAUAUAAGGAAGAACUCCGAUGGCGAAGGCAGUUCACUGGACUGCAACUGACACUGAGGCUCGAAAGUGUGGGUAUCAAACAGGAUUAGAUACCCCAGUAGUC
RNAcentral lists this ribosomal RNA (460 nucleotides) under uncultured bacterium. RNAcentral's name for it is "partial 16S ribosomal RNA". It matches the Rfam family "Bacterial small subunit ribosomal RNA", at positions 338 to 795 of the family's 1533-position model. The record is from RNAcentral.